Molecule: ribosomal RNA, 1432 nt
Filed under: uncultured organism
Description: 16S ribosomal RNA
Rfam family: Bacterial small subunit ribosomal RNA
Source: RNAcentral
GAUGAACGCUAGCUACAGGCUUAACACAUGCAAGUCGAGGGGCAGCAUGGUCUUAGCUUGCUAAGGCCGAUGGCGACCGGCGCACGGGUGAGUAACACGUAUCCAACCUGCCGUCUACUCUUGGACAGCCUUCUGAAAGGAAGAUUAAUACAAGAUGGCAUCAUGAGUCCGCAUGUUCACAUGAUUAAAGGUAUUCCGGUAGACGAUGGGGAUGCGUUCCAUUAGAUAGUAGGCGGGGUAACGGCCCACCUAGUCUUCGAUGGAUAGGGGUUCUGAGAGGAAGGUCCCCCACAUUGGAACUGAGACACGGUCCAAACUCCUACGGGAGGCAGCAGUGAGGAAUAUUGGUCAAUGGGCGAGAGCCUGAACCAGCCAAGUAGCGUGAAGGAUGACUGCCCUAUGGGUUGUAAACUUCUUUUAUAAAGGAAUAAAGUCGGGUAUGGAUACCCGUUUGCAUGUACUUUAUGAAUAAGGAUCGGCUAACUCCGUGCCAGCAGCCGCGGUAAUACGGAGGAUCCGAGCGUUAUCCGGAUUUAUUGGGUUUAAAGGGAGCGUAGAUGGAUGUUUAAGUCAGUUGUGAAAGUUUGCGGCUCAACCGUAAAAUUGCAGUUGAUACUGGAUAUCUUGAGUGCAGUUGAGGCAGGCGGAAUUCGUGGUGUAGCGGUGAAAUGCUUAGAUAUCACGAAGAACUCCGAUUUCGAAGGCAGCCUGCUAAGCUGCAACUGACAUUGAGGCUCGAAAGUGUGGGUAUCAAACAGGAUUAGAUACCCUGGUAGUCCACACGGUAAACGAUGAAUACUCGCUGUUUGCGAUAUACUGCAAGCGGCCAAGCGAAAGCGUUAAGUAUUCCACCUGGGGAGUACGCCGGCAACGGUGAAACUCAAAGGAAUUGACGGGGGCCCGCACAAGCGGAGGAACAUGUGGUUUAAUUCGAUGAUACGCGAGGAACCUUACCCGGGCUUAAAUUGCAGAUGAAUUACGGUGAAAGCCGUAAGCCGCAAGGCAUCUGUGAAGGUGCUGCAUGGUUGUCGUCAGCUCGUGCCGUGAGGUGUCGGCUUAAGUGCCAUAACGAGCGCAACCCUUGUUGUCAGUUACUAACAGGUUCCGCUGAGGACUCUGACAAGACUGCCAUCGUAAGAUGUGAGGAAGGUGGGGAUGACGUCAAAUCAGCACGGCCCUUACGUCCGGGGCUACACACGUGUUACAAUGGGGGGUACAGAGGGCCGCUACCACGCGAGUGGAUGCCAAUCCCCAAAACCUCUCUCAGUUCGGACUGGAGUCUGCAACCCGGCUCCACGAAGCUGGAUUCGCUAGUAAUCGCGCAUCAGCCACGGCGCGGUGAAUACGUUCCCGGGCCUUGUACACACCGCCCGUCAAGCCAUGGGAGCCGGGGGUACCUGAAGUGCGUAACCGCGAGGAGCGCCCUAGGGUA